This 109-nucleotide non-coding RNA is filed under the name pig gut metagenome. RNAcentral's name for it is "FMN riboswitch (RFN element)". It matches the Rfam family "FMN riboswitch aptamer (RFN element)". Rfam says of the family: The RFN element is a highly conserved domain that is found frequently in the 5'-untranslated regions of prokaryotic mRNAs that encode for flavin mononucleotide (FMN) biosynthesis and transport proteins. This element is a metabolite-dependent riboswitch that directly binds FMN in the absence of proteins. In Bacillus subtilis, the riboswitch most likely controls gene expression by causing premature transcription termination within the 5' untranslated region of the ribDEAHT operon and precluding access to the ribosome-binding site of ypaA mRNA. The record is from RNAcentral.
UAUCUUCAGGGCAGGGUGAAAGUCCCUACCGGCGGUAAAGCCCGCGAGCCGUAAGGCAUGAUUCGGUUAGAUUCCGAAGCCGACAGUACAGUCUGGAUGAGAGAAGAUU